CCUGACUGCUAUCGGAUUGAUACUAAGCCAUGUGAGUCAUUGUAGUAAUACAAGGCAGACGGCUCAGUAACACGUAGCCAACCUACCCUAUGGACGGGGAUAACCUCGGGAAACUGAGGAUAAACCCCGAUAGAUCAUAAUGCCUGGAACGGUUUAUGGUCCAAAUGAUUCGUCGCCGUAGGAUGGGACUGCGGCCUAUCAGCUUGUUGGUGAGGUAAUGGCCCACCAAGGCUAUUACAGGUACGGGCUCUGAGAGGAGAAGCCCGGAGAUGGGUACUGAGACACGGACCCAGGCCCUAUGGGGCGCAGCAGGCGAGAAACCUUUGCAAUGUGCGCAAGCACGACAAGGUUAAUCCGAGUGUUUCCUGCUAAAGGAAUCUUUUGUUAGUCCUAAAAACACUAGCGAAUAAGGGGUGGGCAAGUCCUGGUGUCAGCCGCCGCGGUAAAACCAGCACCUCAAGUGGUCAGGAGGAUUAUUGGGCCUAAAGCAUCCGUAGCCUGCUUUGUAAGUUUCCGGUUAAAUCCAUUAGCUCAACCGAUGGGCCGCCGGAAAAACUGCAAAGCUAGGGAGUGGGAGAGGUAGACGGUACUCGGUAGGAAGGGGUAAAAUCCUUUGAUCUAUUGAUGACCACCUGUGGCGAAGGCGGUCUACCAAAACACGUUCGACGGUGAGGGAUGAAAGCUGGGGGAGCAAACCGGAUUAGAUACCCGGGUAGUCCCAGCUGUAAACGAUGCAGACUCGGUGAUGCCCUGGCUUGUGGCCAGUGCAGUGCCGCAGGGAAGCCGUUAAGUUUGCCGCCUGGGAAGUACGUACGCAAGUAUGAAACUUAAAGGAAUUGGCGGGGGAGCACCACAAGGGGUGAAGCCUGCGGUUC
RNAcentral lists this ribosomal RNA (875 nucleotides) under uncultured archaeon. RNAcentral's name for it is "bacterial SSU rRNA". It matches the Rfam family "Archaeal small subunit ribosomal RNA", at positions 21 to 903 of the family's 1478-position model. The record is from RNAcentral.